UACAGAGGUCCCAAGCGUUGUUCGGAGUUACUGGGCGUAAAGGGUGUGUAGGCGGUUGGAUAAGUGUGGUGUGAAAUCUCCCGGCUUAACUGGGAGGGUGCGCUACAAACUGUCUGACUAGAGUGUGGGAUGGGAGAGUGGAGUUCCUGGUGUAGCGGUGAAAUGCGUAGAUAUCAGGAGGAACACCGGUGGUGUAGACGGCUCUCUGGACCAUAACUGACGCUGAGACACGAAAGCGUGGGUAGCAAACAGG
This 253-nucleotide ribosomal RNA is filed under the name uncultured bacterium. RNAcentral's name for it is "partial 16S ribosomal RNA". It matches the Rfam family "Bacterial small subunit ribosomal RNA", at positions 524 to 776 of the family's 1533-position model. The record is from RNAcentral.